Molecule: ribosomal RNA, 20 nt
Filed under: Sequoia sempervirens (coast redwood)
Lineage: Eukaryota; Viridiplantae; Streptophyta; Pinopsida; Cupressales; Cupressaceae
Also listed under: 1 other name
Description: partial 18S ribosomal RNA
Source: RNAcentral
AACCUGCGGUAGGAUCAUUG